GAUUUCCUAGUAUUGAUCUUAUACCUUAUUGUAGGGUCGAGAUGGCGGACUAGAGGGGGGGUGAAUAGUCCUUUCUAAAACUUAACGCGCCGGCUAACCGAAAUAAGUGCGAAAAUAAAACUAUCGGUCUAGGCAAGAUUUCACCCCUCUAUCUAAGUUCUUUAGCACUUUGUAAAAGAUCCUAAACAAGCAAACAAGAUGCUACCUUAGC
This 211-nucleotide long non-coding RNA is filed under the name Sorghum bicolor (sorghum). RNAcentral describes it as "long non-coding RNA (SBIC_LNC013008)". Lineage: Eukaryota; Viridiplantae; Streptophyta; Magnoliopsida; Poales; Poaceae. The record is from RNAcentral.